AACGCACAUUGCGCCCGCCAGUAUUCUGGCGGGCAUGCCUGUCCGAGCGUCAUUUCAACCAUCAAGCCCCCGGGCUUGCGUUGGGGUCCUGCGGCUGCCCGCAGGCCCCGAAAGACAGUGGCGGGCUCGCGAACGCGACCGAGCGCAGUAGAAUCUCUCCGCUCUGGGCGCGCCGCGGGUGCCAGCCGUGAAACCCCCCCCCUUCUCAAGGUUGACCUCGGAUCAGGUAGGAAUACCCGCUGAACUUAA
Molecule: unclassified non-coding RNA, 249 nt
Filed under: uncultured Sordariales
Lineage: Eukaryota; Fungi; Ascomycota; Sordariomycetes; Sordariales
Description: sequence contains 5.8S rRNA gene, ITS2, 28S rRNA gene
Rfam family: 5.8S ribosomal RNA (bases 1-52)
Source: RNAcentral